GACGAACGCUGGCGGCGCGCCUAACACAUGCAAGUCGAACGAGAGAGAGGAAGCUUGCUUCCUUAAUCGAGUGGCGAACGGGUGAGUAACGCGUGAGGAACCUGCCUCAAAGAGGGGGACAACAGUUGGAAACGACUGCUAAUACCGCAUAAGCCCACAGCUCGGCAUCGAGCAGAGGGAAAAGGAGUGAUCCGCUUUGAGAUGGCCUCGCGUCCGAUUAGCUGGUUGGUGAGGUAACGGCCCACCAAGGCAACGAUCGGUAGCCGGACUGAGAGGUUGAACGGCCACAUUGGGACUGAGACACGGCCCAGACUCCUACGGGAGGCAGCAGUGGGGAAUAUUGCACAAUGGGGGAAACCCUGAUGCAGCGACGCCGCGUGGAGGAAGAAGGUCUUCGGAUUGUAAACUCCUGUUGUUGAGGAUGAUAAUGACGGUACUCAACAAGGAAGUGACGGCUAACUACGUGCCAGCAGCCGCGGUAAAACGUAGGUCACAAGCGUUGUCCGGAAUUACUGGGUGUAAAGGGAGCGCAGGCGGGAAAGCAAGUUGGAAGUGAAAUCCAUGGGCUCAACCCAUGAACUGCUUUCAAAACUGUUUUUCUUGAGUAGUGCAGAGGUAGGCGGAAUUCCCGGUGUAGCGGUGGAAUGCGUAGAUAUCGGGAGGAACACCAGUGGCGAAGGCGGCCUACUGGGCACCAACUGACGCUGAGGCUCGAAAGUGUGGGUAGCAAACAGG
This 735-nucleotide ribosomal RNA is filed under the name uncultured bacterium. RNAcentral describes it as "bacterial SSU rRNA". It matches the Rfam family "Bacterial small subunit ribosomal RNA", at positions 28 to 776 of the family's 1533-position model. The record is from RNAcentral.